AGAUUAAGUUAUUAAGGGCGCACGGUGGAUGCCUUGGCACUAGAAGCCGAAGAAGGACGUUACUAACGACGAUAUGCUUUGGGUAGCUGUAAGUAAGCGUUAAUCCAGAGAUUUCCGAAUGGGGGAACCCAACAUGAGUUAUGUCAUGUUAUCGACAUGUGAAUUCAUAGCAUGUCAGAAGGCAGACCCGGAGAACUGAAACAUCUUAGUACCCGGAGGAAGAGAAAGAAAAAUCGAUUCCCUGAGUAGCGGCGAGCGAAACGGGAAGAGCCCAAACCAACAAGCUUGCUUGUUGGGGUUGUAGGACACUCUAUACGGAGUUACAAAAGAACAUGUUAGACGAAUCAUCUGGAAAGAUGAAUCAAAGAAGGUAAUAAUCCUGUAGUCGAAAACAUAUUCUCUCUUGAGUGGAUCCUGAGUACGACGGAGCACGUGAAAUUCCGUCGGAAUCUAGGAGGACCAUCUCCUAAGGCUAAAUACUCUCUAGUGACCGAUAGUGAACCAGUACCGUGAGGGAAAGGUGAAAAGUACCCCGGAAGGGGAGUGAAAGAGAACUUGAAACCGUGUGCUUACAAGUAGUCAGAGCCCGUUUAUGGGUGAUGGCGUGCCUUUUGUAGAAUGAACCGGCGAGUUACGAUCUGAUGCAAGGUUAAGCAGCGAAUGUGGAGCCGUAG
This 674-nucleotide ribosomal RNA is filed under the name Listeria monocytogenes. Its description in RNAcentral is "partial 23S ribosomal RNA". It matches the Rfam family "Bacterial large subunit ribosomal RNA", at positions 1 to 671 of the family's 2925-position model. The record is from RNAcentral. Lineage: Bacteria; Bacillati; Bacillota; Bacilli; Caryophanales; Listeriaceae.